AACGAACGCUGGCGGUAUGCCUAACACAUGCAAGUCGAACGAGACCUUCGUAUCUAGUGGCGCACGCGUGCGUCACGUGUGGGAACCUGCCCUUAGGCUCGGGAUUAUUCCCCUUCGUGGGGGCUAAUACCGGGUAAUGUACGCUGAUAACACAUUCAACUCCCUUGGGUGGGCCCGCGUUGGUUUAGCCAGUCGGUAGGGAAAAAGCCUACCACGGCUUAGCUCCAUAGCUGGGCUGAGAGGAUGAGCAGCGACACUGGGACUGAGACACGGCCCAGACUCCUACGGGAGGCAGCAGUGGGGAAUAUUGGACUAUGGGCGGAAGCCUGAUCCAGCAAGGCCGCGUGAGUGAUGAAGGCCUGAGGGUUGUACAGCUCUUUUACCCGGGAUGAUAAUGACAGUACCGGGAGAAUAAGCACCGGCUAACUCCGUG
Molecule: ribosomal RNA, 433 nt
Filed under: uncultured bacterium
Lineage: Bacteria
Description: partial 16S ribosomal RNA
Rfam family: Bacterial small subunit ribosomal RNA
Source: RNAcentral